GUGGGGAAUAUUGCACAAUGGGGGAAACCCUGAUGCAGCGACGCCGCGUGAAGGAUGAAGUAUUUCGGUAUGUAAACUUCUAUCAGCAGGGAAGAAAGUGACGGUACCUGACUAAGAAGCCCCGGCUAACUACGUGCCAGCAGCCGCGGUAAUACGUAGGGGGCAAGCGUUAUCCGGAUUUACUGGGUGUAAAGGGAGCGUAGACGGAACGGCAAGUCUGAAGUGAAAGCCCGGGGCUCAACCCCGGGACUGCUUUGGAAACUGUUGAUCUGGAGUGCUGGAGAGGCAAGUGGAAUUCCUAGUGUAGCGGUGAAAUGCGUAGAUAUUAGGAGGAACACCAGUGGCGAAGGCGGCUUGCUGGACAGUAACUGACGUUGAGGCUCGAAAGCGUGGGGAGCAAACAGGAUUAGAUACCCCAGUAGUCC
Molecule: ribosomal RNA, 425 nt
Filed under: uncultured bacterium
Lineage: Bacteria
Description: bacterial SSU rRNA
Rfam family: Bacterial small subunit ribosomal RNA
Source: RNAcentral